UGGGGAAUCUUGCACAAUGGGGGAAACCCUGAUGCAGCGACGCCGCGUGAGCGAUGAAGGUUUUCGAAUCGUAAAGCUCUGUCCUAUGGGAAGAUAAUGACGGUACCAUGGGAGGAAGCCCCGGCUAACUACGUGCCAGCAGCCGCGGUAAUACGUAGGGGGCGAGCGUUGUCCGGAAUUACUGGGCGUAAAGGGUUCGCAGGCGGCAUGGCAAGUCCGAUGUAAAAGGCGAAGGCUCAACCUUCGUAAGCAUCGGAAACUGUCAAGCUUGAGUGAAGGAGAGGCAAGUGGAAUUCCUAGUGUAGCGGUGGAAUGCGUAGAUAUUAGGAGGAAUACCGGUGGCGAAGGCGACUUGCUGGACUUCAACUGACGCUGAGGAACGAAAGCGUGGUAGCAAACAGG
RNAcentral lists this ribosomal RNA (402 nucleotides) under Fusobacteriota bacterium. RNAcentral's name for it is "Fusobacteria bacterium partial 16S ribosomal RNA". It matches the Rfam family "Bacterial small subunit ribosomal RNA", at positions 355 to 776 of the family's 1533-position model. Lineage: Bacteria; Fusobacteriati; Fusobacteriota. The record is from RNAcentral.